CUCUGGUCUCAUCGCAUACUCAGUCUCAAUGGGAUUUCCUUAAGAGUCAAAACCCCGACAAUUGCAUGAAGCCGGAAGCUCAGCAAUCUUCUGAGGGCAUCUAUCUUGUUUUCUAAGAAGCAUUUUGGAGGUUUUUCUUUACCUGGAGAAAGCACUGGCUAGAGCUAUCUGGCAUACAAUGUAAAGAAGCUUCACGAAAAAUAAAAGAAAAGUGAAAAUAUAUUUAGCUACAAAUGAUUGUCCUCUUCCCUGAAAAUUACAGAAGAGGAAAGCAACAGUGUGUUCAGCAAGCUGGAACUAAACUGUUACUGAAUGGAGAGUUCCCAUCCUGCCUCAGUGGAAUCAAAGAAAAGAGAAAGGCUCCAAAAUGAACACAAUGCGUGUUAUUUGCUACCAUAAACUGUGCAACUGGUUUCUACUGCUGUGUUGCAAUUGAAUAGUAAUCAGGAGAAGUUACACGUUGUUCUUAGAAAUAAUACAACGAAUCCUGUCAAUCUUAAGUCCUGACACUGAAUUUAACGCUCUCUGUUUAGUCCUACCAUCAAGGAUGAUUUGCAGGUGAAGAAUUCUUGAUAGUCAGAUGCAGACUACGUCUUCAGAUCCUAUGGCCUAAGGUUAUUAAGGUGGGAGAAGCAAAACAAAUGCGGUUCUCAUCCAGUAAUAAUGGAUUUACAAGAAUUUGAAACAAAACUUUCCUUCCAGCUACUGCUUUCAUG
This 716-nucleotide long non-coding RNA is filed under the name Homo sapiens (human). RNAcentral's name for it is "HSALNT0302638". Lineage: Eukaryota; Metazoa; Chordata; Mammalia; Primates; Hominidae. The record is from RNAcentral.